GCGGAAUUGGUGUUUAACGGCUAGCAUAUGUGCCUUCCAAGUACGAGGUGGGGGUUCGAAUCCCUUAUUCCGCA
This 74-nucleotide transfer RNA is filed under the name Candidatus Riesia sp. RNAcentral describes it as "tRNA-Gly". It matches the Rfam family "tRNA". Rfam says of the family: Transfer RNA (tRNA) molecules are approximately 80 nucleotides in length. Their secondary structure includes four short double-helical elements and three loops (D, anti-codon, and T loops). Lineage: Bacteria; Pseudomonadati; Pseudomonadota; Gammaproteobacteria; Enterobacterales; Enterobacteriaceae. The record is from RNAcentral.